This 504-nucleotide long non-coding RNA is filed under the name Sus scrofa (pig). Lineage: Eukaryota; Metazoa; Chordata; Mammalia; Artiodactyla; Suidae. The record is from RNAcentral.
ACCUGGUGUCAGUUCCCCUAUAAAUGGCAGCCUCCCUCUCCCUGAAUAGCGAAGACUGCUGCCAUGUUCUGCCCACCUCUGUCACACACAACGGGGUGUCACUCCAGGACUCUUCAUUUCCUAAAUGAGCCAACAUUUGGGAUCAGUCCCAUUUUUCACUGAUCCUGUAAAGUGCACCAUUUCCAAGAAGCCCUAGAGAUGUGGAAAGAUAAGAAUGUGAAUGUGUUAAAACUUCUUUUGAGAAAAAAGAAUGAGAUGCUACAAAAGGUCUGAUGUUGGUGACGCAUGAAGCCUGGCCAUAAGCUGUGACUUCCCCAGGCACCUGGAAGUAAAAGGAAGGACGUUUCAUCUGAGGGUGAAUCUAAUAAAAAUCCACACCUAAUGGAUACAAUUAAGCAACCAAGAAAUUGUCAAUGUGCGAUUAUGAAAAAUAAUCACGUUAUUUUCUUUUGUAAAAUACUUUUAUUAUUAAAAGAAAGUAUUUCUAAAAAUAAAUUACUUUGG